CCCUUAGAUGUCCUGGGCUGCACGCGCGCUACACUGGAAGUUACGGAUUGAGAUACUACCUUGUCCGAAAUGGUCCGGGUAAUCACCUAAAAGCUUGUCAUAAUUGGAAUGGAUUAUUGUAACUAGUAAUCCUGAACGAGGAAUUCCUAGUAAGUCCCAGUCAACAGCUGGUACUGAUUACGUCCCUGCCCUUUGUACACACCGCCCGUCGCUACUACUGAUUGGACGUUUAAGCAAGAUUUUUAAACACUGACAGUGUGUAGUUCACGCUAUACUACAGUGAGAAGAAGAAGACCGAGCUUACUUGUCUAGAGGAAGUAAAAGUCGUAACA
RNAcentral lists this ribosomal RNA (332 nucleotides) under uncultured eukaryote. RNAcentral describes it as "partial 18S ribosomal RNA". It matches the Rfam family "Eukaryotic small subunit ribosomal RNA", at positions 1470 to 1796 of the family's 1831-position model. The record is from RNAcentral.